Molecule: long non-coding RNA, 280 nt
Organism: Hyalella azteca
Lineage: Eukaryota; Metazoa; Arthropoda; Malacostraca; Amphipoda; Hyalellidae
Exons: 3
Source: RefSeq, a predicted model, not a curated record
UCCGAAGAAGAGACUAAAGAGAGGGCAUCCAGAGUUUGCAAUUGUUAGUGUACCAGUAACGGCGACGUCUGCAACGGGUACCCGCUCAAAAUCGCGCACAUCCGUUCACAUCGAGUUAGACUGCACAUCACAAGUUGUUGAUGCGUCGUCCACUGAUGUUGGCCCUUCAUGUUCGACAAGUUCAGAUCUUCCUUCGAGAGUCGUCACUCGUGCGUUAGCUCGUCGUCUAGCCGAAAGUGCCGUCGCAAGUGAAAAGAAUUCACCCGAUAAUCAAGAAACA